Molecule: long non-coding RNA, 249 nt
Filed under: Microtus ochrogaster (prairie vole)
Lineage: Eukaryota; Metazoa; Chordata; Mammalia; Rodentia; Cricetidae
Description: Rhabdomyosarcoma 2 associated transcript conserved region 7 (ENSMOCG00000009731.1)
Rfam family: Rhabdomyosarcoma 2 associated transcript conserved region 7
Source: RNAcentral
GACAAAGAAAUGAACUUUUGUCAGAGUUCCAAAAGAAUGCAAUACUUUUAGUCAAAUGUGGUAAUGUGAAGAGAAGAUGAGAGACACGUAAUGAAUAAAACACAUUCCUUCACACAAUAGACGUCCUGCAGGUGACUGGGCCCGCAGCAAUCUUACUGAAGACUCAACUUUGACUGACCUUUGUUGGGGUGAUUAACCUUGGAAAAUUAAAAACCUCCUCUGAAUUAGUCUGUCUAAUUUAAAUGCAAA